This 444-nucleotide ribosomal RNA is filed under the name uncultured bacterium. RNAcentral's name for it is "partial 16S ribosomal RNA". It matches the Rfam family "Bacterial small subunit ribosomal RNA", at positions 354 to 796 of the family's 1533-position model. The record is from RNAcentral.
GUGAGGAAUAUUGGUCAAUGGGCGGGAGCCUGAACCAGCCAAGUCGCGUGAAGGAAGAAGGAUCUAUGGUUCGUAAACUUCUUUUGCAGGGGAAUAAAGUGCAGGACGUGUCCUGUUUUGUAUGUACCCUGAGAAUAAGGAUCGGCUAACUCCGUGCCAGCAGCCGCGGUAAUACGGAGGAUCCGAGCGUUAUCCGGAUUUAUUGGGUUUAAAGGGUGCGUAGGUGGUUUGAUAAGUCAGCGGUGAAAGUUUGCAGCUUAACUGUAAAAAUGCCGUUGAAACUGUCGGACUUGAGUGUAAAUGAGGUAGGCGGAAUGCGUGGUGUAGCGGUGAAAUGCAUAGAUAUCACGCAGAACUCCGAUUGCGAAGGCAGCUUACUAAGCUACAACUGACACUGAAGCACGAAAGCGUGGGGAUCAACAGGAUUAGAAACCCCGGUAGUCC